GAUGAACGCUAGCGAUAGGCCUAACACAUGCAAGUCGAGGGGCAGCAUAGAGUAGCAAUACUUUGAUGGCGACCGGCGCACGGGUGAGUAACACGUAUGCAACCUACCCACAUCAGGGGAAUAACCCGGAGAAAUUCGGACUAAUACCGCAUAAUACAGGGAUGCCGCAUGGCAAUAUUUGUUAAAGAUUUAUCGGAUGUAGAUGGGCAUGCGUUCCAUUAGCUAGUUGGUAAGGUAACGGCUUACCAAGGCAACGAUGGAUAGGGGAACUGAGAGGUUUGUCCCCCACACUGGAACUGAGACACGGACCAGACUCCUACGGGAGGCAGCAGUGAAGAAUAUUGGUCAAUGGACGAGAGUCUGAACCAGCCAAAUCGCGUGAAGGAAGACUGCCCUACGGGUUGUAAACUUCUUUUGUACAGGAAUAAAAGACAUUACGUGUAAUGUAUUGCAUGUACUGUACGAAUAAGCAUCGGCUAACUCCGUGCCAGCCGCCGCCGUAA
RNAcentral lists this ribosomal RNA (503 nucleotides) under uncultured bacterium. RNAcentral's name for it is "partial 16S ribosomal RNA". It matches the Rfam family "Bacterial small subunit ribosomal RNA", at positions 28 to 523 of the family's 1533-position model. The record is from RNAcentral.